RNAcentral lists this ribosomal RNA (492 nucleotides) under uncultured bacterium. RNAcentral's name for it is "partial 16S ribosomal RNA". It matches the Rfam family "Bacterial small subunit ribosomal RNA", at positions 29 to 507 of the family's 1533-position model. The record is from RNAcentral.
AGUGAACGCUGGCGGUAGGCCUAACACAUGCAAGUCGAACGGCAGCACAGUAAGAGCUUGCUCUUACGGGUGGCGAGUGGCGGACGGGUGAGGAAUACAUCGGAAUCUACUUUUUCGUGGGGGAUAACGUAGGGAAACUUACGCUAAUACCGCAUACGACCUACGGGUGAAAGCAGGGGAUCUUCGGACCUUGCGCGAUUGAAUGAGCCGAUGUCGGAUUAGCUAGUUGGCGGGGUAAAGGCCCACCAAGGCGACGAUCCGUAGCUGGUCUGAGAGGAUGAUCAGCCACCCUGGAACGUGGACACCGUCCCGGCGCCUACGGGAGGGAGCAGUGGGGAAUAUUGGACAAUGGGCGCAAGCCUGAUCCAGCCAUACCGCGUGGGUGAAGAAGGCCUUCGGGUUGUAAAGCCCUUUUGUUGGGAAAGAAAAGCAGCAGGUUAAUACCCCGCUGUUCUGACGGUACCCAAAGAAUAAGCACCGGCUAACUUCGUG